Non-coding RNA from Trichonephila clavata, 73 nucleotides. The record is from the annotation of a GenBank genome assembly. Lineage: Eukaryota; Metazoa; Arthropoda; Arachnida; Araneae; Nephilidae.
GUCCCUGUAGCGCAAUGGAUAGCGCGUUGGACUUCUAAUCCAAGGGUCGCGGGUUCGAACCCCACCAGAAAUG